Molecule: long non-coding RNA, 494 nt
Filed under: Gallus gallus (chicken)
Lineage: Eukaryota; Metazoa; Chordata; Aves; Galliformes; Phasianidae
Description: long non-coding RNA NONGGAT008396
Source: RNAcentral
CUGCUCAAUCAUUGGUUCAUGCUGUGAAGGAGUGGAGUGCAGUGAACUUCCAGGUCACAGCCUGGUUGAGCACCAGGUGAGAAGCUGUGGCUAAUGCAGGGAGCUCAGGAACAAGCAGUGCACCUGAGUGACCACAAGCAAUGCACCUGGAUCCUGGUUCCACCCCUCCUCAGCCUCAUUUAAGGAUUUGCAGCCAGGGGAUCAGCUUCUUUAUCGGCUGAGAUUAUGUGUGUCUUGAGCUGUCACUGGUUUAAAAAGGUACCUUGUGGGUGAAGUGCCGGCAGAUGGUGCUCAAGAACACAUACCAGCCGGGACAUAGAGGUGUGCAGAAGCGGAGCCCGGCUUGUGCUGUCCCUUCAGCAGCUCCUGCUUUCCUGGCAGGCUUUCCCUCUCCGUGAAUGUGUUUCUGUGGGACCAUGCAGAGAGCAGCAGACUCAGCUGUAGUUUUGUCCUUGCUAAGUUCCAGCAGCUGCCUUGCAGAGCCAUUGGCAUCA